This 254-nucleotide ribosomal RNA is filed under the name uncultured bacterium. RNAcentral's name for it is "partial 16S ribosomal RNA". It matches the Rfam family "Bacterial small subunit ribosomal RNA", at positions 524 to 777 of the family's 1533-position model. The record is from RNAcentral.
UACAGAGGUCCCAAGCGUUGUUCGGAUUCAUUGGGCGUAAAGGGUGCGUAGGCGGCGCGGUAAGUCGGGUGUGAAAUCUCGGGGCUUAACUCCGAAACUGCAUUCGAUACUGCCGUGCUUGAGGACUGGAGAGGAGACUGGAAUUUACGGUGUAGCGGUGAAAUGCGUAGAUAUCGUAAGGAAGACCAGUGGCGAAGCGGGUCUCUGGACAGUUCCUGACGCUGAGGCACGAAGGCCAGGGGGAGCAAAACGGG